AUUUAUAUAAUAUAUUUAGUAUAUUUGAUUUCCAUUCAAAAAGUUUAAUAAUUUUAAUAUAAAUA
RNAcentral lists this transfer RNA (65 nucleotides) under Telchinia kalinzu. RNAcentral describes it as "Acraea kalinzu tRNA-Gly". The record is from RNAcentral. Lineage: Eukaryota; Metazoa; Arthropoda; Insecta; Lepidoptera; Nymphalidae.